CAGAGUUCAUGCCCUCCGGGUAGAUCUCCCACCCAUUGCUAUAACUACUCUCGUUGCUUUGGCGGGCCGCUGGGCCCUGCCCGGCCGCCGGCCCCGGCUGGCGCGUGCCCGCCAGAGACCUCACAGACUCUGAAUGUUAGUGUCGUCUGAGUACUAUACAAUAGUUA
This 167-nucleotide unclassified non-coding RNA is filed under the name uncultured fungus. Its description in RNAcentral is "sequence contains ITS1, 5.8S rRNA gene". RNAcentral also lists the same sequence under 1 other name. Lineage: Eukaryota; Fungi. The record is from RNAcentral.